GUGCCAGCCGCCGCGGUAAUACGUAGGAGGCGAGCGUUGUCCGGAGUUACUGGGCGUAAAGGGUGCGUAGGCGGCCGCGCGCGUGGCGGGUGAAAUCUCUCGGCUUACCCGGGAGGGUGCUUGCCAGACGGCGUGGCUUGAGGGACGGAGAGGGGCGUGGAAUUCCGGGUGGAGCGGUGAAAUGCGUAGAGAUCCGGAGGAACACCGACGGCGUAGGCAGCGCCCUGGCCGUUUCCUGACGCUGAUGCACGAAAGCUGGGGGAGCAAACAGGAUUAGAUACCCGCGUAGUCC
This 292-nucleotide ribosomal RNA is filed under the name uncultured bacterium. Its description in RNAcentral is "partial 16S ribosomal RNA". It matches the Rfam family "Bacterial small subunit ribosomal RNA", at positions 505 to 796 of the family's 1533-position model. The record is from RNAcentral.